Molecule: ribosomal RNA, 460 nt
Filed under: uncultured bacterium
Lineage: Bacteria
Description: partial 16S ribosomal RNA
Rfam family: Bacterial small subunit ribosomal RNA
Source: RNAcentral
CCUACGGGAGGCAGCAGUGAGGAAUAUUGGUCAAUGGGCGAAAGCCUGAACCAGCCAAGCCGCGUGAAGGAAGAAGGCUCUAUGGUUUGUAAACUUCUUUUGUACGGGAGUAAAGUGAGGCACGCGUAGCUUUAUGUAUGUACCAUAUGAAUAAGCACCGGCUAACUCCGGGCCAGCAGCCGCGGUUAUACGGAGGAUUCGAGGGUUAUCCGGAUUUAUUGGGGUUAAAGGGGUCGGUGGGGGUGAGAUAAGUUUGCGGGGAAAGUUUGUGGGUAAACCACAAGAUUGCCGUUGAAACUGGUUGGCUUGAGUGAAGUAGAGGUAGGCGGAAUGCGUGGUGUAGCGGUGAAAUGCAUAGAUAUCACGCAGAACACCGAUUGCGAAGGCAGCUUACUAGGCUUUAACUGACGCUGAGGCACGAAAGCGUGGGGAGCAAACAGGAUUAGAUACCCGAGUAGUC